GACGAACGCUGGCGGCGUGCUUAACACAUGCAAGUCGAACGGAAAGGCCCUGCUUUUGUGGGGUGCUCGAGUGGCGAACGGGUGAGUAACACGUGAGUAACCUGCCCUUGACUUUGGGAUAACUUCAGGAAACUGGGGCUAAUACCGGAUAGGAGCUCCUGCUGCAUGGUGGGGGUUGGAAAGUUUCGGCGGUUGGGGAUGGACUCGCGGCUUAUCAGCUUGUUGGUGGGGUAGUGGCUUACCAAGGCUUUGACGGGUAGCCGGCCUGAGAGGGUGACCGGCCACAUUGGGACUGAGAUACGGCCCAGACUCCUACGGGAGGCAGCAGUGGGGAAUAUUGCACAAUGGGCGGAAGCCUGAUGCAGCAACGCCGCGUGCGGGAUGACGGCCUUCGGGGUGUAAACCGCUUUCGCCUGUGACGAAGCGUGAGUGACGGUAAUGGGUAAAGGAGCACCGGCUAACUACGUG
RNAcentral lists this ribosomal RNA (468 nucleotides) under uncultured bacterium. RNAcentral's name for it is "partial 16S ribosomal RNA". It matches the Rfam family "Bacterial small subunit ribosomal RNA", at positions 28 to 507 of the family's 1533-position model. The record is from RNAcentral.